UACUGUGGUUUCUGCUGCUGCAGAUAGUUACAUUUACUCUUCUCCUCCACCACCUUAUGUGUAUAAGUCACCACCACCACCGUCUCCUUCACUACCUCCUCCUUACGUGUACAAGUCACCACCUCCUCCGUCUCCAUCUCCUCCACCACCAUAUGAGCACAAGGCUCCAUCUUAUAAGUAUAAGUCCCCUCCACCUCCUUCACCAUCUCCCCCACCUCCCUAUGUGUACAAAUCACCACCUCCUCCAUCACCAUCACCUCCACCACCUUACAUUUACAAAUCUCCACCACCACCCUCACCUUCCCCUCCCCCACCAUACUAUUAUAAAUCUCCUCCACCACCAUCUCCCUCACCCCCACCACCAUAUUAUUACAAGUCUCCUCCACCACCUUCUCCUUCUCCUCCCCCUCCAUACUACUAUAAAUCUCCUCCACCACCCUCUCCGUCACCUCCACCUCCUUACUACUAUAAGUCUCCUCCACCUCCCUCACAUUCCCCUCCUCCACCAUACUAUUACAAGUCUCCUCCACCACCCUCUCCCUCACCCCCACCUCCAUAUUACUACAAAUCUCCUCCACCACCCUCUCCCUCACCCCCACCUCCAUAUUAUUACAAGUCUCCCCCACCACCCUCACCAUCCCCUCCCCCACCAUACUAUUAUAAGUCUCCUCCACCCCCACAUAUACACAAGGACCCACCAUACUAUUACAAGUCCCCACCACCACCUUCACCAUCUCCUCCACCACCUUACUACUAUAAAUCUCCCCCACCACCCUCACCAUCUCCUCCACCACCAUACUACUACAAAUCUCCCCCACCACCUUCACCAUCUCCUCCACCACCAUACUACUACAAAUCUCCUCCUCCUCCAUCCCCUAUCCCCCGUACACCUUACUACUACAAGUCCCCGCCACCACCUUCACCAUCUCCUCCACCACCAUACUAUUACAAAUCUCCUCCCCCGCCAUCUCCUAUUCCCCAGACACCUUACUACUACAAGUCCCCACCACCACCUAAGUAUCUUCCACCACCAUACUAUUAUAACUCUCCUCCUCCACAUGUUGUGUAUCCUCAACCACACCCUUACCACCACUCAUUGAUUGUGAAGGUAGUGGGUAAAGUCUACAGCUUUAGGUGCUAUGAUUGGGAGUAUC
Molecule: long non-coding RNA, 1154 nt
Filed under: Cicer arietinum (chickpea)
Lineage: Eukaryota; Viridiplantae; Streptophyta; Magnoliopsida; Fabales; Fabaceae
Description: long non-coding RNA (CARI_LNC001280)
Source: RNAcentral